RNAcentral lists this long non-coding RNA (706 nucleotides) under Heterocephalus glaber (naked mole-rat). Its description in RNAcentral is "lncRNA (ENSHGLG00000045139.1)". The record is from RNAcentral. Lineage: Eukaryota; Metazoa; Chordata; Mammalia; Rodentia; Bathyergidae.
GGGAAUGGAAUUAGUAUGAGACAAUGAAAAAAUGGAAACAAAGUCUUUAAUGCCAACUCUUAAGACACUUCUUUGGACAGCUCUAAAAUGUAUUUUGUAUACUGUCAUCAGAGCCUUACAAACGUGCAUGCUCGCUCCUUCAGUGCCUCAAGACAAGAACAGGUAAACCAGGAUGUGGCCGAGUCUGACCUAAACUAAGGAAACUGUUGGAAAAUUAUCUAAACUUUAGCAAGAUUGGAAUUAGACUUCGGAAUCUCAGAGGAGGCCUCUGUGUUUCUCAGCCAUCGCUGCACAUUGGAAUCACCUGGGGAAUUUUAUGACACCUGGGUCAGGACCCAAGGGCUCAUGGGUAAUUGACCUGGGACGUGGCCCCACACCGGCUGGGACCCAAGUGACUCCACCGUACCCUGAGCUGAGGACGUCUGCAACAGAGGUUCUCAAGCACGACAGUCAGUUUCUUCAAAUAAAUUUACAAAGAGAGAGGAAGGAGAAAUCUUUUUACCAUCAACGUUGGAUGAAAACUAUGUUGAAUAUGAACGAGGAAAUCACUCUAGAAAACAUUAUUUGACCCCGAGACUCGUUGUUUCAAGUGGCAAAAAAUACACAGGGAAUGCUUUUAAGGUAAUUAACAAAGUCUUCUGCAGGAACACUGCAGAGACCUGAGAUUGGAAGGAAUUUAAAUUGGCUUCUUAAAGUAGAUUUUCGG